This 1467-nucleotide ribosomal RNA is filed under the name uncultured bacterium. Its description in RNAcentral is "bacterial SSU rRNA". It matches the Rfam family "Bacterial small subunit ribosomal RNA". The record is from RNAcentral.
AGAGUUUGAUCCUGGCUCAGAACGUACGCUGGCGGCACGCCUAACACAUGCAAGUCGAACGAAGUAGCAAUACUUAGUGGCAGACGGGUGAGUAACAUGUAGGUAUCUGCCCUUUGGCCUGGAAUAACACGAGGAAACUUGUGCUAAUACCGGAUAAGUCUUUACGGAGAAAGCUUUAUGCACCAUUGGAUGAGCCUGCACUUGAUUAGUUUGUUGGUGGGGUAAUGGCCUACCAAGACUGUGAUCAAUAGCUGAUUUGAGAGGAUGAUCAGCCACAUUGGGACUGAGACACGGCCCAAACUCCUACGGGAGGCAGCAGUGGGGAAUCUUGCACAAUGGAGGAAACUCUGAUGCAGCGAUGCCGCGUGAGUGAAGAAGGCCUUUGGGUUGUAAAGCUCUUUCGUCGGGGAAGAAAAUGACUGUACCCGAAUAAGAAGGUCCGGCUAACUUCGUGCCAGCAGCCGCGGUAAUACGAAGGGACCUAGCGUAGUUCGGAAUUACUGGGCUUAAAGAGUUCGUAGGUGGUUGAAAAAGUUAGUGGUGAAAUCCCAGAGCUUAACUCUGGAACUGCCAUUAAAACUUUUCAGCUAGAGUAUGAUAGAGGAAAGCAGAAUUUCUAGUGUAGAGGUGAAAUUCGUAGAUAUUAGAAAGAAUACCAAUUGCGAAGGCAGCUUUCUGGAUCAUUACUGACACUGAGGAACGAAAGCAUGGGUAGCGAAGAGGAUUAGAUACCCUCGUAGUCCAUGCCGUAAACGAUGUGUGUUAGACGUUGGAAAUUUAUUUUCAGUGUCGCAGGGAAACCGAUAAACACACCGCCUGGGGAGUACGACCGCAAGGUUAAAACUCAAAUGAAUUGACGGGGACCCGCACAAGUAGUGGAGCAUGUGGUUUAAUUCGAAGAUACGCGCAGAACCUUACCAACACUUGACAUGUUCGUCGCGACUCUAAGAGAUUAGAGUUUUCGGUUCGGCCGGACGAAACACAGGUGCUGCAUGGCUGUCGUCAGCUCGUGUCGUGAGAUGUUGGGUUAAGUCCCGCAACGAGCGCAACCCUCACUUUUAGUUGCCAUCAUUAAGUUGGGCACUCUGAAAGAACUGCCAGUGAUAAGCUGGAGGAAGGUGGGGAUGACGUCAAGCCCUCAUGGCCCUUACGUGUUGGGCUACACACGUGCUACAAUGGUAUCUACAACAGGAAGCAAGACUGCGAAGUUAAGCAAAUCCCUAAAAGAUACCUCAGUUCGGAUUGCACUCUGCAACUCGAGUGCAUGAAGCUGGAAUUACUAGUAAUCGUGGAUCAGCGUGCCACGGUGAAUGCGUUCCCGGGUCUUGUACACACCGCCCGUCACACCAUGGGAGUUGGUUCUACCUUAAGGCAAGGUUUCAAACCCUUGACCACGGUAUAGUCAGCGACUGGGGUGAAGUCGUAACAAGGUAGCCGUAGGGGAACCUGCGGCUGGAUCACCUCCUU